AAACAAUGAGCAUGAAAUGGCAAAUUGGACAGACAAUCAAGCUUUUUCAUCACUUUAUAAGAUCAGUUCUAUCGAGAUCUAUUGUGGCAGUCUGGAUAUCUCACUAAAAAGAAGCAUGUGCACAUUAAAGAAAAGUGUUUGGGUGUGAGAGACAUGAGGAAAAGAAUGCUAGUAGUGAAUCUUUCAUCACCUGGGGAACCAAUUGCUUUUAUUAAGUUUCCUUUGUUUUCAAUACUUAAAGUAAUUUUUAUUUUCCUGCUUCAAACCUAAUGAUAUACCAUUAUAGCCUUUAACUUGUGCAUAAAAUAAAUAAAACUAAAAUGUA
Molecule: long non-coding RNA, 325 nt
Organism: Suricata suricatta (meerkat)
Lineage: Eukaryota; Metazoa; Chordata; Mammalia; Carnivora; Herpestidae
Exons: 4
Source: RefSeq, a predicted model, not a curated record